AACGUAGGACGCGAGCGUUAUCCGGAGUUACUGGGCGUAAAGCGCGGGCAGGCGGUCUGACAAGUCUGAUGUGAAAUCUCCGGGCUUAACCGGGAGAGGCCAUUGGAAACUGACAGGCUGGAGGGCAGUAGAGGUAGGCGGAAUUCCGGGUGGAGUGGUGAAAUGCGUAGAGAUCCGGAGGAACACCAGAGGCGAAGGCGGCCUACUGGGCUGCACCUGACGCUGAGCCGCGAAAGCCAGGGGAGCGAACAGG
RNAcentral lists this ribosomal RNA (253 nucleotides) under uncultured bacterium. Its description in RNAcentral is "partial 16S ribosomal RNA". It matches the Rfam family "Bacterial small subunit ribosomal RNA", at positions 524 to 776 of the family's 1533-position model. The record is from RNAcentral.